AGAGUUUGAUCCUGGCUCAGGAUGAACGCUAGCGGCAGGCCUAAUACAUGCAAGUCGGACGGUAAAUGCCCCUUCGGGGGCAUGAGAGUGGCGGACGGGUGCGUAACGCGUAUGCAACCAGCCCCCGACGGGCGGACAGCCGGUGGAAACGCCGGAUGAUACGCCAUGUUCCCCGGGGAGGGCAUCCUUUCUGGGGCAAAGCGGAGACGCGGUCGGGGACGGGCAUGCGUGCCAUUAGCUAGUCGGCGGGGUGACGGCCCACCGAGGCGACGAUGGCUAGGGGAUCUGAGAGGACGGUCCCCCACACUGGUACUGAGACACGGACCAGACUCCUGCGGGAGGCAGCAGUAAGGGAUAUUGGGCAAUGGGGGGAACCCUGACCCAGCCCAUGCCGCGUGAGGUAUGAAGGCCCUACGGGUCGUAAGCCUCUUUUAUUCGGGGACAAGGACGGCGUCGGGAACGCUGUUUGAGGGUACCGAAGGAAUAAGCGUCGGCUAACUCCGUGCCAGCCGCCGC
This 516-nucleotide ribosomal RNA is filed under the name uncultured bacterium. RNAcentral's name for it is "bacterial SSU rRNA". It matches the Rfam family "Bacterial small subunit ribosomal RNA", at positions 8 to 518 of the family's 1533-position model. The record is from RNAcentral.